GUACUCUGGUUUCCCUUCAAAUCACGCAUAAAUCUUUCGCCUUUUACUAAAGAUUUCCGUGGAGGGGAACAAUUGAUGAGUCUAAGAUCUCAAUUUUUGGUAGUACCUGACGAAAGUCAGGUC
RNAcentral lists this small nuclear RNA (123 nucleotides) under Harpegnathos saltator (Jerdon's jumping ant). Its description in RNAcentral is "U5 spliceosomal RNA". It matches the Rfam family "U5 spliceosomal RNA". Rfam says of the family: U5 RNA is a component of both types of known spliceosome. The precise function of this molecule is unknown, though it is known that the 5' loop is required for splice site selection and p220 binding, and that both the 3' stem-loop and the Sm site are important for Sm protein binding and cap methylation. The record is from RNAcentral. Lineage: Eukaryota; Metazoa; Arthropoda; Insecta; Hymenoptera; Formicidae.